UGUUGACCUCGAAUCAGGUAGGAAUACCCGCUGAACUUAAGCAUAUCAAA
RNAcentral lists this ribosomal RNA (50 nucleotides) under Fusarium solani. RNAcentral describes it as "partial 28S ribosomal RNA". The record is from RNAcentral. Lineage: Eukaryota; Fungi; Ascomycota; Sordariomycetes; Hypocreales; Nectriaceae.